This is a long non-coding RNA of Glycine soja, 689 nucleotides long. RefSeq lists it as uncharacterized. Lineage: Eukaryota; Viridiplantae; Streptophyta; Magnoliopsida; Fabales; Fabaceae. The transcript is spliced from 3 exons. The record is from RefSeq and is a predicted model, not a curated record.
UUCAUUGGUUUUUUACACAAAACAUUUGUUGUUCUCUACGCAUUCUGAGCGAAGCGAACCUUGAAGUUGAUGGACCUCAAAGCUGACCGAGAAGGCAACAUCUGUUGUGCCCUAGUCUGCCCUGCCGUGGUUGUGUGUGCCGUGGUAGCUUCAGUGCCGUGACUGUUCUGUGACUUGCGAGCCCCCCUUUCACAGGUCCUUGCCUUUAGGGACAUAGAUCCACAAGCUCCUACCCAUAUUCUAAUCAUUCCUAAAGUUAGGGAUGCAUGGUUGAUUGGUCUGUCCAAGAUAUAAAAAUUGGAGGUGUAACAAGCAAAAAGGGCAGAAAAAUUGAAGAAAAGAAGAAAAUUUGAAGAAGGCCCAGCCCAAUACACGUGCUCAGCGCGCGUCACGGGCUAAGCGGGCCAGGAAGUACACGCGCUAAGCGUGCCUAUGAAGGCCCAAAGCCCACUUCAGCAGCUAUAAAUAGAGAGCCAGUCCAAGGGACAGGACCACCACCACAGAACCCCCUCUCCUAGGGGUUUCAUUUACUCCCUUUCUUUCUUUCACCCCCCUUCUCAUUGUAAAGCCCCUCAUGACCAUGAGUGGCUAAUCCCCUAGCUAGGGUCUGAUAGGCCUAAAAAGUCAAUGAUGUAUGGAGCAUUUCAAGAGUUAUCAAUAAAAAGAGGAAUUCCUUCCAGGUUCUUUUA